CAUGUGGGGCAAGCGUUGUUCGGAAUUACUGGGCAUAAAGGGUGCGUAGUGGCUUGCUAAGUCAGUGGUGAAAUCGUCCGGCCCAACCGGACACGUGCCAAUGAUACUGGUGAGCUCGAGUGCGUGAGGGGUAGGGGGAACGAGCAGUGUAGCGGUGAAAUGCGUAGAUAUUGCUCGGAAGGCCAAAGCCGAAGGGACCCUACUGGUACGUAACUGACACUGAGGCACGAAAGCGUGGGGAGCAAACAGGAUUAGAUACCCUGGUAGUCCACGCCGUAAACGAUGAUCACUAGGUGGGUGCUGAGCUAUCGGUGCCCGCCGCAGGUAAUUUGCUAAGUGAUCCGCCUGGGGAGUAUGGUCGCAAGGCUG
Molecule: ribosomal RNA, 369 nt
Filed under: uncultured organism
Description: bacterial SSU rRNA
Rfam family: Bacterial small subunit ribosomal RNA
Source: RNAcentral